GAUGAACGCUGGCGGCGUGCCUAAUACAUGCAAGUCGAGCGAACGGACGAGAAGCUUGCUUCUCUGAUGUUAGCGGCGGACGGGUGAGUAACACGUGGAUAACCUACCUAUAAGACUGGGAUAACUUCGGGAAACCGUAGCUAACACCGGAUAAUAUUUUGAACCGCAUGGUUCAACAGUGAAAGACGGUUCUGCUGUGCCUUAUACAUGGAUCCGCGCUGCAUUAGCUAGUUGGUAAGGUAACGGCUUACCAAGGCAACGAUGCAUAGCCGACCUGAAAGGGUGAUCGGCCACACAGGACAGGAGACACGGUCCGGGCUCCUAGGGGAGGCAGAAGUAGGGAAUCUUCCGAAAUGGGCGAAAGCCUGACGGAGCAACGCCGCGUGGGUAAUGAAGGUCUUCGGAUCGUAAAACGCUGAUGUUGGGGGAAAACAUAUGUAUAAGUAACUGUGCACAUCUUGACGGUACCAAAGAAGAAAGCCAGGGCAAACUACGU
This 496-nucleotide ribosomal RNA is filed under the name uncultured bacterium. RNAcentral's name for it is "partial 16S ribosomal RNA". It matches the Rfam family "Bacterial small subunit ribosomal RNA", at positions 28 to 506 of the family's 1533-position model. The record is from RNAcentral.